RNAcentral lists this long non-coding RNA (717 nucleotides) under Olea europaea subsp. europaea. The record is from RNAcentral. Lineage: Eukaryota; Viridiplantae; Streptophyta; Magnoliopsida; Lamiales; Oleaceae.
AACAGAUCUCAUUCAACAUUACGUUCCACUUCAGAGUUCUGCUACAAUUUUGCACAGGUAUGCACAAAAUUACGAUAUUUUAAAUUGCAGUAAGGCACCAAGAGAGGUCAUAAAAGGCAAAAGAAAUACUUUAUGUUAUUAUCGAUGAAACCAGAUUACAAUGAAGGAAAUGAUUCUUCUCAGAACGAGCAUCACAAAAGUUGCAAACAUUUAUCUACAUAAUUUAAACAGCGAUCGAAGUUCAGAAACUAGCACAGCACAAAGCAGAAAACAUUACAGUCGAAUAGGUAUGUCCUUCCAUAUGCAUAAUCAGAAGAAAUUCACCCUUGAUUGUUCCAUCCUCUAAUUCCAUAUCUUUUAUAAACCGCUGGUUACAUUUUUGUCAGAAGAUCACGAGAAACAUGUAGCGUUUAGGUCUCUAGUCCCGUCAUAUUGUAAUUAACUUUGCAAAUGAGAAAGAUCGGACCUUGAUAUGAAACCUCUGUUUAAAGCUGGCUGUCGUGAACAUCUCUUUUUUCUCCAAUCAGGUUUUGAUUGCUGUCUUUCUGUGAUUAGUUGUUGUGAUCUUUCUCAGUUCCUGCAACAUCUUGACGAAAGUGACAAAUUUAUCGCAUAAAAGCUCGAUUCCUUCAGGCUUGACCAUAUUCUACAUCCACCUUAUUGCCCAACACUACGGCUCUCUGUCACUAAACACGUUUUUCUUGCUGACAUAUACUN